GUAGGGAAUAUUGCACAAUGGAGGAAACUCUGAUGCAGCGACGCCGCGUGAGUGAUGAAGGCCUUCGGGUCGUAAAGCUCUGUCGCAGGGGAAUAACACAAUGAAGGUACCCUGUAAGAAAGGAUCGUCUAACUUCGUGCCAGCAGCCGCGGUAAGACGAGGGAUCCUAGCGUUGUUCGGAAUCAUUGGGCGUAAAGCGGAUGUAGGUGGCUAUGUAAGGCAGAUGUGAAAGGCUGGGUGUCAACCUCCGAAGUGCAUUGGAUACUGCGUAGCUUGAGUGUCGGAGAGGUUACUAGAAUUGUUGGUGUAGUGGUGAAAUACGUAGAUAUCAACAGGAAUACCGGAGGCGAAGGCGGGUAACUGGCCGAACACUGACACUGAGAUCCGAAAGCGUGGGGAUCAAACAGGAUUAGAAACCCGUGUAGUCC
RNAcentral lists this ribosomal RNA (428 nucleotides) under uncultured bacterium. RNAcentral describes it as "partial 16S ribosomal RNA". It matches the Rfam family "Bacterial small subunit ribosomal RNA", at positions 354 to 796 of the family's 1533-position model. The record is from RNAcentral.